This 447-nucleotide ribosomal RNA is filed under the name uncultured Acidobacteriota bacterium. RNAcentral's name for it is "bacterial SSU rRNA". It matches the Rfam family "Bacterial small subunit ribosomal RNA", at positions 42 to 479 of the family's 1533-position model. Lineage: Bacteria; Pseudomonadati; Acidobacteriota. The record is from RNAcentral.
GCGUGCCUACACAUGCAAGUCGAACGAGCAAAGCUCCCUUCGGGGGGUGAGUAAAGUGGCAGACGGGUGAGUAACACGUGGGUAACCUGCCCGCGGGUGGGGGAUAACCCUCCGAAAGGAGGGCUAAUACCGCAUAACAUCUCGAGCUCUUCGGCGCCUGAGAUCAAAGCUUGCCUCUUCUUGAAAGCAAGCGCCUGUGGAGGGGCCCGCGCCCCAUUAGCUUGUUGGUGAGGUAACGGCUCACCAAGGCUGCGAUGGGUAGCCGGCCUGAGAGGGUGAUCGGCCACACUGGAACUGAGNCACGGCCNACACUAAUACGGGAGGCAGCAGUGAGGAAUUUUGCGCAAUGGGCGAAAGCCUGACGCAGCGACGCCGCGUGGAGGACGAAGGUCUUCGGAUCGUAAACUCCUGUNCAAGCGGGACGAAGUCCGUGCGGAUGAAUAAGCC